CCUACGGGGGGCAGCAGUGGGGAAUAUUGGGCAAUGGGCGCAAGCCUGACCCAGCGACGCCGCGUGAGGGAAGACGGUCUUCGGAUUGUAAACCUCUUUCAGCAGGGAAGACAAAAGGACGGUACCUGCAGAAGAAGCCACGGCUAACUACGUGCCAGCAGCCGCGGUAAUACGUAGGUGGCAAGCGUUAUCCGGAAUCACUGGGCGUAAAGAGCGCGUAGGCGGGAUAGCAAGUCAGAUGUGAAAUCCUAUGGCUUAA
This 259-nucleotide ribosomal RNA is filed under the name uncultured bacterium. RNAcentral's name for it is "partial 16S ribosomal RNA". It matches the Rfam family "Bacterial small subunit ribosomal RNA", at positions 338 to 612 of the family's 1533-position model. The record is from RNAcentral.